This 446-nucleotide long non-coding RNA is filed under the name Fukomys damarensis (Damara mole-rat). Its description in RNAcentral is "lncRNA (ENSFDAG00000032072.1)". Lineage: Eukaryota; Metazoa; Chordata; Mammalia; Rodentia; Bathyergidae. The record is from RNAcentral.
CUCACUCUCCGAUUGGAGGAUGAGCUGAAAAGAAGAGGAGAGGAGGAAGCUGUUUUCGAUUCGGAGAAGCCGCACUUCUCAUGCGGUCAAGUUCAGAAGACCUAAGCCUGUCUCAGAGUCUAAAGUAGUCUUCCUUCUGCCGCCCAUCCUGAACUUCUCCUACCCUCCUGUAUGCCUCCACUGAGCCAUUUCUGAAGGACUGCACCUCCCCACCCCCAUUUCGGGCUCAUCUUUGGGCUCAGCCAGUGGGAAGCAAAGAGACCAAAACAGUCACCUGGAAGGAGAAAAUGCUUGGAGAAUUUCUUCCCUCCUGCCCCACAUGCAGUGCCAAGUCUUCGGCUGUAGCAGGGCCCUUCUGCGAUGGUAACAGCAAUACACUCAGAUGCGGUGAGGAAGGGCGGCUGUGGAUCCUGAGGCAACAGUUUAUCAUCAUUAGCAGAGAGUGA